CAUGCAAGUCGAACGAGAGAGAGGGAGCUUGCUUCCUCAAUCGAGUGGCGAACGGGUGAGUAACGCGUGAGGAACCUGCCUCAAAGAGGGGGACAACAGUUGGAAACGACUGCUAAUACCGCAUAAGCCCACGGGUCGGCAUCGACCAGAGGGAAAAGGAGCAAUCCGCUUUGAGAUGGCCUCGCGUCCGAUUAGCUAGUUGGUGAGGUAAUGGCCCACCAAGGCAACGAUCGGUAGCCGGACUGAGAGGUUGAACGGCCACAUUGGGACUGAGACACGGCCCAGACUCCUACGGGAGGCAGCAGUGGGGAAUAUUGCACAAUGGGGGAAACCCUGAUGCAGCGACGCCGCGUGGAGGAAGAAGGUCUUCGGAUUGUAAACUCCUGUUGUUGAGGAGGAUAAUGACGGUACUCAACAAGGAAGUGACGGCUAACUACGUGCCAGCAGCCGCGGUAAAACGUAGGUCACAAGCGUUGUCCGGAAUUACUGGGUGUAAAGGGAGCGCAGGCGGGAAGACAAGUUGGAAGUGAAAUCUAUGGGCUCAACCCAUAAACUGCUUUCAAAACUGUUUUUCUUGAGUAGUGCAGAGGUAGGCGGAAUUCCCGGUGUAGCGGUGGAAUGCGUAGAUAUCGGGAGGAACACCAGUGGCGAAGGCGGCCUACUGGGCACCAACUGACGCUGAGGCUCGAAAGUGUGGGUAGCAAACAGGAUUAGAUACCCUGGUAGUCCACACCGUAAACGAUGAUUACUAGGUGUUGGAGGAUUGACCCCUUCAGUGCCGCA
This 783-nucleotide ribosomal RNA is filed under the name uncultured bacterium. Its description in RNAcentral is "bacterial SSU rRNA". It matches the Rfam family "Bacterial small subunit ribosomal RNA", at positions 54 to 850 of the family's 1533-position model. The record is from RNAcentral.